RNAcentral lists this ribosomal RNA (524 nucleotides) under uncultured bacterium. RNAcentral's name for it is "partial 16S ribosomal RNA". It matches the Rfam family "Bacterial small subunit ribosomal RNA", at positions 28 to 523 of the family's 1533-position model. The record is from RNAcentral.
GACGAACGCUGGCGGCGUGCCUAAUACAUGCAAGUCGAGCGCAGGAAACUGACGGAACUCUUCGGAGGGAAGGCAGUGGAAUGAGCGGCGGACGGGUGAGUAACACGUAAGGAACCUGCCUCAAGGAUUGGGAUAACUCCGAGAAAUCGGAGCUAAUACCGGAUAGUUCAACGGACCGCAUGGUCCGCUGAUGAAAGGCGCUUCGGCGUCACCUUGAGAUGGCCUUGCGGUGCAUUAGCUAGUUGGUGGGGUAACGGCCCACCAAGGCGACGGUGCACAGCCGACCUCAGAGGGUGAUCGGCCACACUGGGACUGAGACACGGCCCAGACUCCUACGGGAGGCAGCAGUAGGGAAUCUUCCACAAUGGACGAAAGUCUGAUUGAGCAACGCCGCGUGAGUGAUGAAGGUUUUCGGAUCGUAAAACUCUGUUGUAAGGGAAGAACACGUACGAGAGGAAAUGCUCGUACCUUGACGGUACCUUACGAGAAAGCCACGGCUAACUACGUGCCAGCCGCCGCCGUAA